This 354-nucleotide ribosomal RNA is filed under the name uncultured bacterium. RNAcentral's name for it is "bacterial SSU rRNA". It matches the Rfam family "Bacterial small subunit ribosomal RNA", at positions 28 to 377 of the family's 1533-position model. The record is from RNAcentral.
GACGAACGCUGGCGGCGUGCUUAAUACAUGCAAGUCAACUGAAGUUGAGGUAGUAAUACUUCAACGGAGGUGGCGCACGGGUGAGUAACACGUAGGUAAUCUGCCUUUGGGUCUGACAUAAUCCCGCGAAAGCGGGACUAAAAUCAGAUGAUGCAGCGGCUCGACAUCGAGACAGUUGUUAAACCUUCGGGGCCUAAAGAAUGAGCCUGCGUCUGAUUAGGUAGUUGGCGGAGUAAAAGACCCACCAAGCCUGCGAUCAGUAGCUGGUCUGAGAGGAUGAUCAGCCACACUGGAACUGAGACACGGUCCAGACUCCUACGGGAGGCAGCAGUAAGGAAUAUUGCUCAAUGGCCG